This 460-nucleotide ribosomal RNA is filed under the name uncultured bacterium. Its description in RNAcentral is "partial 16S ribosomal RNA". It matches the Rfam family "Bacterial small subunit ribosomal RNA", at positions 338 to 795 of the family's 1533-position model. The record is from RNAcentral.
CCUACGGGUGGCUGCAGUGAGGAAUAUUGGACAAUGGGCGCGAGCCUGAACCAGCCAAGUCGCGUGAAGGAUGACUGCCCUACGGGUUGUAAACUUUUUUUAUAAAGGAAUAAAGUGAGGCACGUGUGCCUUUUUGUAUGUACUUUAUGAAUAAGGAUGGGCUAACUUCGUGCCAGCAGCCGCGGUAAUUCGGAGGAUCCGAGCGUUAUCCGGAUUUAUUGGGUUUAAAGGGAGCGUAGAUGGGUUGUUAAGUCAGUUGUGAAAGUUUGCUGCCCAACCGUAAAAUUGCAAUUGAUACUGGCUGUCUUGAGUAAAGUUGAGGUAGGCGGAAUUCGUGGUGUAGCGGUGAAAUGCUUAGAUAUCACGAAGAACUCCGAUUGCGAAGGCAGCCUACUAAACUGCCACUGACAUUGAUGCUCGAAAGUGUGGGUAUCAAACAGGAUUAGAUACCCCAGUAGUC